CUUUUGCGCCACUACGUGGCUUAACGUGUAGUCGCCCUUCCCUUUGAUUUUUAGGAACGCAACGUGGACGAGUUUUUGCGUUGCAGUCACCUGUCUACCGGUGUUAGGCAGUUUGAAAAAUGUGCUUUUAAGCUAUUUUUAAUAAAUUUUAAAAACGUGCUCAGGUGAAUUAUCAAACUCAACAGAUUUCUAUGCACAGAGGCGGCUCUUAGUAGCUCUGAUGGCGUUGGUAUAGGUAUUCCCUGUGUGGAAGGGUUUAGAUAUGGGAGGAUUUAGGACCGCAGGUUGUAGAGAAGGAAAACACUGGAUAUCCUCCAAAUUUUGCUGUGCGUUGCUAGACGGCCUACCUGCUCCUGUUUAGGCCAGAGCGUGGAUAGAUGUUUCAGAAUUUAAAAGGCCUGGAGAGAAAGCAAUUUAUGCUGCUUGGUACUGGUCAAAAGUCCUGUUAUGUGCCUGGCCACCCCACAGAGAAGCCUGCGGGGCUGGAGUCCCUGCGCUGCAAAGGAGGCUGGACAAGUGGUUUGUGCGCCUAAGAAAUGGCAGAGAAAAUGACCUCCAGGGUUCCUCUUCUAGACCAUUUUGUUGGGGCAUCCCUUUCUUGGUACCAGCUGGGAUUGUUAAUCAAAGGACUAUGACCAAGUUUGGAUCCCUGACCUCAACAGGAGAAAGAAAGUGCUGGGGAGCAACCCAGGGCCUUGCACAUACAUAUUAAACAAGUGCCCUCCCUCUGAGCUACACCUGAGACCUUUUCUAUUCUAAGAAUUUGUUAAAAUUUUUAUUUUUUAUUAAAUACAAUAGACUUCUCUGUCAGGGACCUAGCCAAGAUCUCCAACUGUGUGUAUGAGGAGUAUGGUGAAAGGUUGAAAUAAAAAAAACAGACAAAUUUAGUAAUGCAUGACAGGGGGCCUGGGAGGUCGGUGCCUCACAAUGGGCAAAGACAAAGACAAUCUGAGCUCUAGCCACCAUUUACUGGGUGUACACAAGAAUAAGAGGGGGGUUAGGGAUUUAGCUGAGCAGCACAAUGCCUGCCUGGCAAGCGCAAAGUCAUGAGUUCAAUUCCUGGUACUGGAAAAAAAAACAAAAACAAACAAAAAAAAAAAUAAGAGGAAUUAUUGGAUGACUUAGAGGGUAGCAGUGAUCUUAUGUUGAGAAGGUCUUAUGCUGAUGAGGAUUAUUUGGGAUGAUUUAGAGGGCAGUGGUGAGCUUAUGCUGAUGAGGAUAUUUAUGUUUAUGAGGACAGUUGGGAGAGAUGCCAGUUAAGAAAGAGUUUGUCCUUUCCCCAAGGUGAAACUAUUUUUA
Molecule: long non-coding RNA, 1299 nt
Organism: Chinchilla lanigera (long-tailed chinchilla)
Lineage: Eukaryota; Metazoa; Chordata; Mammalia; Rodentia; Chinchillidae
Exons: 3
Source: RefSeq, a predicted model, not a curated record